Molecule: transfer RNA, 72 nt
Organism: Phycomyces blakesleeanus NRRL 1555(-)
Lineage: Eukaryota; Fungi; Mucoromycota; Mucoromycetes; Mucorales; Phycomycetaceae
Rfam family: tRNA
About the family: Transfer RNA (tRNA) molecules are approximately 80 nucleotides in length. Their secondary structure includes four short double-helical elements and three loops (D, anti-codon, and T loops).
Source: Rfam
UCUUCGAUAGUAUAGUGGUAAGUAUCCCCGCCUGUCACGCGGGAGACCCGGGUUCAAUUCCCGGUCGGAGAG